UUUUUUUUUUUUAACCACUGUGGUAUAUGAAUUCACUCCAGUUAAAGUCUCAGAUGUGGCAUGAAAUUUGGGGACAUGACUAUCCCAGGAUAUUUGAUAAACUCUCAGUUUGAGAGGCUUUAUGAAUAAAGCUCCUUGCUAAUUAAAAAGAUUUGAAUCAUGGUUUGGAGUUGCUUCUAUCAUUAUGUAAUGAGUUUCUCUUUGCUGGUAAAUAUGGAUGGAUAGAAGAAGCUUUGAUCUUAAGCUCCUUGAGAGUGAGUGCUCUCUUAUUCUUUGUAUACCUAAUACUUAGCAGUGCCCUGUAUAUAAUACAUAUUUAAGGAAAGCUUAUUGAGUGGAUAAAUGAAGUGGUCUAUUCCAUUCACCAUGCUUAAUUAGAUUAAGCCUAUUUCCCAAUAAAAUGCUUAGGGUAGAAUGCAGUAUGGUAUGGUAGGAAGAGCAGAUGCUUUUGAGUGGGACAGAUAGAUUUAAAUCCUAGCUUUGAUACCCAGCUGUGUGAAAGGAAAGCCACCUAAUCUCUCUGAACUGCAGCUUUCUUCUUGUGUUGUUAUACAAAUUAUAUAAGAUAAAAUAUGUAAAGUAUUUGAGAAUGUGCCUGGCACAUAAUGAGUAUUGAAACAUUUAAUUAUCUUCCCUUUCCUUUCAGGUACAUUGCUAAUUUCUUUCUUUUCAAUCAGUACUACAGAACAAAAUUGGCUCAGAUCCAUUUUGAGAAGAAAGAAUUUGUGGUAGUUACACUAUUUGUUCAAAUUUUCAAACCUGUUUUUCCCCCACCAGAAUAUGUACGUCCAAGCUCCCAUAUUUUGCCUGCUUCAAAAGAGCUUCUAUUGACUUCAGAAAAGGUUACCAACACUAGGAAAAGAAGUAGGGGAAUUUACUUUAUUUACCAUCAUUUUCCAAUUAAGUAAAAGUGGAAAAUUACAACACUUUCCAUUAGAUUAACGAUUCACAGACUUCAAAACACUGAUCUAUAUUCUCUCACUGCAAGCUCACAUUAGCCCCCACUUUCCUUAAAGCUAAGGAAACUGAGGGAGGAAAAAAGGGGAGCUGCCAAAUGUACAGAAUAAAACCAGACAUCGUGAGUUCUGACUUGUCCUGGGAUCUUUCCCAGCCCCACCCUAGGAUGCACUGCAUCCCGUGUUCUCCUUGGGAACUGUCAUUACAUGCUCACUAGUGCUCCCUGCCCUCCACUUUGGACGUUGCAUCUUGGAAGCAAGCCCUCUCCUGUUGCCAACGGAAUUGUGGUCUACUAGUUAAAGGAGACAACCAAGUCAUAAGUAGUGUUCAUUUUUUUGCUUUCUCAGUGACUCACAAUAAGACAUGUGGUGAGUUGUUCAGAAUUAACUACUUUUCCAAGGUUUUACAAAGACUAAAUGCCCAUGGUGGUAUUUUUAACAAUUCUGGUGAAGUUCUCAGUUUAUUUUCAACAUUAAGGAUGCUACAGCAAGUGUUACUGGAAUGGAAAAAUUGAAGCUCUCAUCUAUAGGAGUACAGACUCACAGUCUCCAUUAGAAACAGCUGUGCCCAUAAGUUUUUUUCUGUGAUGCAUUUAUUGACAUUCUUGUUGCAUUGCCAGUGCUAGCUGGUGGCCAGCUGUCCCUACCAUAUUUUAAUUAAAGAAGCUCCCACACCAUCAAGAAAUGAUCUGUGCAAAGACAUGUAAUACCUAUCUGCUGUUUUUCCUGUCUAGACCUUAAAC
Macaca fascicularis (crab-eating macaque) is the source of this 1699-nucleotide long non-coding RNA. Lineage: Eukaryota; Metazoa; Chordata; Mammalia; Primates; Cercopithecidae. The record is from Ensembl.